AAUUUGUGUAUACUUUCAAGGUUAACAUGUGGCAACACUGAUUAUGAAAACAAAAAUGUCCGAUCAGUCCAAUAUAUUUUGUGAUUUAUUCUGUUGAUUAAUUUUAGUGAAAUUACUGUUUAUAAUGAAUCAUAACUUAAAAACUUACAAAUAUUCAAAGGGUGUCAUUGUAGUGGAUUGAUUUGUGUUUCAAUUAUUGCUCUUUAGGAUUAUUGGUCAGUAAAUGUUCUUAGCGUGUUUUGUCUCAGCUUGUUUUGGCUUGAGAACCGAUCACUUGAAGAAGCUCAACAUUCCAAAAUGAGACCUGUAGGUUAUGCAGGUUUCCUAUUUUAUUAAAGGAACUGACUGGCAUGGCAGAUGCAUCAGUACUGAAUAAACCAGAUGGAAACCAAGAGGUCAUUCUGAGAUUUGAUUGCCGACAAGUCGGUCUCAAUACACCGAUGGCUCUUGAUUCCAACGCUUGGCACAAAGAUCAGCAAUUGUUUUUGUCCGACAACCACCAUCACAAUCAGCAGCAGCAAGCUCAGCCAACCCCGGCCACUGUUCAGACUCAGCAGCGCAGUUUGCUCAAGAUCCCUUCCAAGACUUCCAUCCUCACACAAACCGAACGAAACUGUUUGGAGGCGAGCGGCGGUCUGAAGAACGACGCAGUUAUGUUCGACCCCAACCUGCAGCAGCAGCAACAGCAAAAUCAAACGCAAAACCAGGGCAACCAGGUCUACAACAAUGUCAACGCAGACAAGAAAGACAACGCCGAGAAGUCGUCGGUGGCCGAAUUUCCGUUCUGCUACAACGUGAACAUGCUGCAGAAGGUGCAUCAGAACCAGCAGCAGCAGCAGCAACAGCAGCAGCAGCAGGGCACGUCGACGUCAACCGCGACUGCGGCAGUGGUCACUGACGACAAGGCCUGCUACAGAUUCGAUGUCGCGCAGCCGUUCGGCUACAACUAUGCACUCGUCAACCAGAUGUCGCUGGCGGCCGCCGCGUCGACCGCUACCUUCAAAUGCGACAUCUGCGGUCUCGUGUUUACUCAUCUGUCUCUGCUCAACCACCACAAGCGCAUCCACAGCAAUGGCGCUGGUGGCGGCAACGCGGCUGCCAACACGCAGACCAACAACGGCACCACCAACACGGUCAACACGCAGACCAACAACGCCACCACCAACACCACUCCGCAGACCGAGCGAACCUAUGCCUGUGACAUGUGUGGCAACAUAUUCAAUUCCACCGGCGAGCUCAAGACGCACAAAACCAAUGUGCACAAGGUGCGUAAUUGCACAAUGUGCGGCGUGGAGGUGGACUGCGAGCACAUGGUGGGCGUGGGUGGCAAGCGCAAGAAGUUCGUCAAGUGCGAGUCGUGCCUGGCCGAGUCGGGCGACAGCAACGCGUUUCAAUCGUCGCAGGACCAGUCGUCCUCUUCGGACGAGAUGCCCAAGCCGCCGCAUCCCGUCAAACGCCACGGCAUGGCCCAGAUGACCAAGUGUCACAAGUGCAAUGGAUCCGGCAUCAUAUUCAUUGGGGGCACUCGUAACGUGGCCGACAAGCCGUACCACUGCAACCUGUGUGACGGCUCGUUCUCGCGCUACUCGUCGCUGUGGUCGCACAAGCGGCUGCACACCGGCGACAAGCCGUUCAAGUGCGACCUGUGCGGCCUGACGUUCGCGCGCGCCGCCUACCUCAAGAACCACAUCCGCGUGCACAGCGGCGAGAAGCCGUUCAAGUGCGCCGUCUGCGGCAUGCAGUUCUCGCAGUCGCCGCACCUCAAGAACCACGAGCGCAUCCACAGCGGCGAGCGGCCCUACCAGUGCGAAGUCUGCGAGAAGACCUUUGCGCGCCACUCCACGCUCUGGAACCAUCGGCGCAUCCACACCGGCGAGAAGCCCUACCGCUGCGGCCUCUGUGGCUCUGCCUUCAAUCAGGCUACCCACUUGAAAAAUCACGCCAAAGUGCACACCGGCGAGAAGCCGCACCGUUGCGAGAUCUGCGACGUGCGUUUCUCAGACAGAUUCGCCCUGAAGAGGCAUCACAACAUCCACGAGAAGUACGGCCGCACCGCGCCCAACAAUUCGCAAAAUUCACAACAACAGCAGAACCCGCAACAACAGCAACAGACACAACAACAGCAACAGCAGCAGCAACAACAGCAGCAGCAGCAGCCUCAAGUUGUGAUGGAAGAUGUAAUACAAGGGAUACAUGUGGAUCAGUGCUGAAACUUCCACAGUGUAUCAAAAUCAUCAGAACAGUUUCAACUUUCAUGGCAGCCCAAUGUGAUGGGGCAGCAACAGCAGGGGCAACCACAGCCGCAGAUGGGUCAGCCGGGACCGCCGCAGCAGCAGCCGGGACCGCCGCAACAGCAGCCAGGCAUCGACGACUUGUACAAGUGCGAAAUAGGCAGCUCGAUCGCCUUUCCCGGCUGCUCGCGUCCGCAGGACGUCAAGCCUUGAGGCUGCACAUAGACACUCUCUUUGUUAGUAUUCAUUUAGAUAUUACGAUAAUAACUAACUCUAUAAUCAUAGAAUCUAAUGCAUUAACUUUUAAUAAUUAAGAUAUCACAUUACUAUUACAUAAUUUUAUUAGUAUGCAAUAUUAUUAUUAUAGACAGACUAUAUAUUAUUUUUUUUAAGGUGAACUAUCAAUAAUAAUAUGAUAAAACACUGUGUACGUAUUACUACAAGCGAUGUUCACUCGAUAAUAAUUAUUGCUAUUUGAGUUUGAAAAAACUAUUCGUUUUAGUACAGGUAAUAUAACUUUGUAGGCGUAUUUACUCUGGAAUAAUAUCUAUUGUAAAGAAGAUAGUAUUAUUGUUGCUUUACUAGAUAGUAGUUAAGGUAUAUUUGAGUGUAGAUGAAUGAAGAGAUUGCCAUCAUUUAUUUUUAUUUGGUUUAUGUUGGUAGGAUCUUAUUUCUUAGUUGCAGAGAUUGGAUUGUUAGUUUAUAAUUUUUAGUUGUAGCAAACUGUACUCUGAUUACACAAUAAAUCGAAUUUUUAAACUCACAUUUUGCAAGUUGAAAAUUGAAUUUAAAUUCAUAUAAUUGCUACUGAUAGAAACAAAAUAGUUCAUAUUAAAAACUACAAUUGAAAGGAUUUUCACAUCACAUUUUAGACAUGAAAAUGUACAAAUAUUUUCAUUGCAGUAGACUUUUUUGCAAUGAGUUUGAUUAGUUGGUGCUCUGCUCUCAAUGUUUUAGCUUUAUAAUAAACGUUUUUAUAUUUCAAUUCAGACGCUUUUAUGUCAAAGUAAAUAUUUUCUUUUAAUAUCGAUACCGUAUUUUGAAUAAUACUAGUUGAACCAAUGCCGCGCAAACUUUGCCUGCUUUCUCUUGUAUGAUAACCAGUUGUGAUGAACAUGGCCGCAAUAAUACUACAAGUGACUCGAGUAAUUGCAUCUUGAUGCGCAGUUAACGCUUUCAUUGGAUCUGUUCCGAUUUCUGUAUUUAUUAUUGAAAAUUAUCAAAACAUUUUGAAUGAUACGGUACCAUCAUACAGCCUUUUAAAAGCUAAAAGCCCAACCCCUAAUCUAAGAUUUUACCUGUCAAAAGAUUAACAUGAAUAAAUACUAUGUUGUACUCUGGUAGUACUUUGAGUUAUUUUCCAUUUUUGAUCAAAUUAACACUGUUUCAAAUUACAACUAGAUCCUGCACCUAUGUGAGCGAUCACUUUUGUUUUAAUACAAAUCACUGGUGAAUUGUUUUAGUAUAACGACUAGAGUUACUGACGAGUUUUUCAAAAGCUUCUUGUAUAUAAUUAUUUUGAGAUCUCGAUUUCUUAUGUACUUCAUUAAUAAAAAUCAGUUGAAACCCAUGAGGAAGAGAUAUCGGUUAUCAACUCCUCCCUGAUAGAAUAGUAAGAUCACGAGUUGAAAAUGAGAUGAUCUAGUAGGAUUAGUAAGGUAAUCUCAAGAAGUAUUAUUUCAAUGAAAAGCGAAUUGAGAGAAAUGAAAAUUAUUGUUACUUUAACAAUUUCUAAUCAUUUUGCACAAUGUAAUAAAUAAUAGUUUUAUUGCCUAGUGUUUUGUUAUUAUUCUAAUAACAAGCAGCUAUUUAAAUAUCAGUUAUUUUUUGAUAGGCGAAACAUAAGUUAGAUUAACAUCGUAGAAUUACAUUUUUUAAAAUAGUAAUUUCAUGUUAAGUUGAAAAUGUAAACAGCUUCGAGUAGUCGAAUUUUGUAAAAAUUUGAGAAAAUUGUGUUGCGAUAUGCAUGAAUGACAAUGUUUAUUUAUAGAGGAAGAAUCUGAACGUUUAUGUAAAUAUAAAAACAUGUAUUAUCUGGUAAAGCAACUUGAAGAAAUAUUUGCUGUCAUUGAAUAUUUGUCUUCCACAAUUUUUUUCAUUAUAAAUUUAUGUUCGAUUCUUGAACACGUUGUCUAUCAAAAGCUUAUGUGGAAGUAAAAAGUAAGAUUAUCAUAUUUACAAAACAAAUUCUAACACAAUUUUCUAAUAUUAUUUUCAUUUAAGUCUUGAAAAAAUCUGGUUUUGAUGUUGAUUCUCAAUUUGUGUAAGCCCAUUGUUUAAAUUACUAGUGAUUGCAAAAAUUGAUAUUAUUAUUUGUAUUCAUGAUGAGAUAGGCUAAUUAUUAUUUCAUUUGAAGCGAUAAUUGUAUGAUACCUAUUAUUAGUGCGUGGAGUUAUAAGUUUUCAUGAUAUAGUUUCAAGUAGGUUCUGAACCACCGAGAAUAAAAUUUAAAAUAUGUUAACAACUUAAACUGAAAGUUAGUGGUGCUAGCCACUUUAAUAAUAUAUUUAUAGUACCUAAAAUAUUGGGAAUAACAUGAAUUAAUUUUAAAUGUUCAUAAUACGAUAUUCCUUCAAGAUCUAUAGAUUGUAAUAUAUAAAAUCUAUUCUUUCCAUCUACAGUUGAUUGGCAUGUUAAGUAAUACAAAAGCUGUUCAAUGGAAGUUUGAGAACUCACAGAGUUUUUAGUUGAUUGUAUAUUUCUAAAAACAUAAUGUUUUGCUUUAACUAUUGUACAGCUAUAAUUUUUUUGUUUAUAUUGAAACAAUAUAUAGACUACCUAUACAACUAUUGUAUUUUGUUUAAAACAUUUUUCAUGCUUAUUUCUCAUUUGAAAUAGCUGAUAUUAUUUUUUAUUAUUCCGUUACGCUGAAAUUACUUCUAUAUAAUUUACAAAUCUUUAUUAAUAUUCAAGAUCUAACUAACCGGCAAUAGUUAUUGAAUGUAGCACGAUUGUAAUUGCUUCAAUGGUAUACAACACACAGACAUACUGCAUGUCCCUCUUUAGGAAAAACUUCAUAUCUGUAUCUGACACAUAAUUCUGAAUCAUUACUUCCUAGAAGAAAUAAGACUAAGUUUACAUAAAUAUUGCAAACAUUUUUAUAAACUUAUCAUAUUUUUUGUUUCAUUUCUGGUAUCCAUUGAAAUUACCACUCAAAUUAAUAUUGAUACACUAUAAUUAAAAUAAUACAAUCACAUGGAAUAUACAUUGAUUUUCUAUUUUAAAAAAUCGUGAAUCUGUGAUUCAAAUAAUAUAUUUGUUUUCUUGUAAAUAAUUUUUAUAAUCAUAUAUAUAUAUAAUUUAUCUAUAUUUAAUAUUAUAUACAAGCAGAACUGCCUAAAGGAUUUUAUUGUCUUGUGUUUUGUUUGUAAAUAGUUUUAUUUUUUAUAAAAUUAUAUAACUUACUAGUUGUAAGUAGAAUUUAGAAAGUGAGACAAAACACUUCUUCUUUGUGUUGAUUUUUAGUGAAUUACUGUAUGGAUUUUCAGCCAUCAUUAGACAAAGUGUAUGUGUUUUUCGUGUUGCAUUAUCGUCAGCAGUAUAUAUAAAUAGAUAUCGUAAGGUUUGUAUGAUGAAAAUAAAUUUUAGGACUUAAUAAUUGAAUAAAAGUGAAUUAGUAUUUUAAAUCAUUUCUUCAGAAUGAAUUAUGUACUUCUGAUUAUUUCUAAAUAUGAUGAGUUAUUGUUUCAAUUGGUAUAGGUGUUUAUUUUUAUUAUUAUACAUUUAAAUGUAUUUUGUGCUUCAAAAUGUAGGCUAUUUAGAAGUUUUAUUUUGUAAAGUUGAGUGUUGAUAAAAUGUUGUUCGCUGAGAGAACUGAUAUUAUUAACUGAUAUCAUUUUAAUCAUUUUUGAAUCAAUUUACGUCAAAUACUCAAUUUAAAUUAGUAUUAUUUCAAGUUUAAGUUGUGUAAUAAGAAAAUAAAUACUAUGUAAAACUA
This 6168-nucleotide unclassified non-coding RNA is filed under the name Nilaparvata lugens (brown planthopper). Its description in RNAcentral is "zinc finger protein 492-like, transcript variant X1". Lineage: Eukaryota; Metazoa; Arthropoda; Insecta; Hemiptera; Delphacidae. The record is from RNAcentral.